UACGUAGGGUGCAAGCGUUGAUCGGAAUUACUGGGCGUAAAGCGUGCGCAGGCGGUUUUGUAAGUCUGUCGUGAAAUCCCCGGGCUCAACCUGGGAACGGCGAUGGAGACUGCAAGGCUAGAGUUUGGCAGAGGGGGGUAGAAUUCCACGUGUAGCAGUGAAAUGCGUAGAUAUGUGGAGGAACACCGAUGGCGAAGGCAGCCCCCUGGGUCAAAACUGACGCUCAUGCACGAAAGCGUGGGGAGCAAACAGG
This 253-nucleotide ribosomal RNA is filed under the name uncultured bacterium. RNAcentral's name for it is "partial 16S ribosomal RNA". It matches the Rfam family "Bacterial small subunit ribosomal RNA", at positions 524 to 776 of the family's 1533-position model. The record is from RNAcentral.